AUAAACUGGCAUGUUCUGAAAGAAUCACUCUGGAUGCUGUGUGGAGAAAACACUGAAAAGAAUUCUAGAGUGAAAGUUUCAUGAAUAUAAGAAGCAAGACAAGGAAGUGGCUUAUGCUUAAGGCCUUAAAGGCAACCACUGUGACAAUCCAGCCAUUCUCUGGAGAAUUCAGCAGAAAGCCAGUUGGAAUCUUUAUAGGGGGAGAAUAAUUGACUCCAUUCAAGUGUUCGCUCCUGUUUCAAUCAACUAUGGCUGAAGAGUGAGGAGACAUUUGGAAUAAAUAUGGCUUCUGGGGGCCCAUUCCUAUGGAUCAGCAGCUGGCUUCUGGAGGCCCAUUCCUGUGAAUCGUCGAUCUCAUAGAAGAUAAUAUUGUUAGAAGGCUUACCUCAUUGAUGCUGAACAUCCUAAAAAGCUUCUGCUGCUUUGAGUCACUGAAAAAGACCAAGAAACAUGAAUUUAAAAAAAAAUUUCAAAUGUUAUAAAAUAAAUAAUAUGAACUCAUUAUACCUACAAUGAAUAAUUUAAAUUCUUCUUUGGUAGUCCAGGUUUAGAAACUAUGAAAACCCUAGAAGAAAACCUAGGCAAUGCCAUUCAGGACAUAGGCACGGACAAAGAUUUCAUGACGAAGACGCCAAAAACAACUGCAACAAAAGCAAAAAUUGACAGAUGGGAUCUCAUUAAACUAAAGAGCUUCCAUACAGCAAAAGAAGCUACCAUGAGAGUGAACAGACAACCUAUAGAAAGGGAGAAAAAUUUUGCAAUCUGUUCAUCUGACAAAGGUCUAAUAUCCAGCAUCUACAAGGAACUUAAAUAAAUUUACAAGAAAAAAACAAACCCAUUAGAAAAUGGGCAAAGGACAUGAAAAGAUACUUCUCAAAAGACAUACAUGUGGCCAACAAUCAUACAAAAAAAACCUCAACAUCACUGAUGAUUAGAAAAAUGCUAAUCAAAACCACAACGAGAUACCAUCUCAUACCUGUCAGAAUGGCUAUUAAUAAAAAGUUAAAAAACAACAGAUGCUGGUGAGGUUGUUGAGAAAAAGGAAUACUGUUAUACUGUUGGUGGGAAUGUAAAUUAGUUCAACCAUUGUGGGAGACAGUGUGGCAUUUCCUCAAAGACCUAGAGGCAGAAAUACCAUUUGACUCAGCAAUCACGUUACUGGAUAUAUACCCAAAGGAAUAUAAAUCAUUCUAUUAUAAAGAUACAUGCAUGCGCAUGUUCACUGCAGCAUUAUUCACAAUAGCAAAGACAUGGAAUCAACCCAAAUGCCCAUCAAUAACACACUAGAUAAAGAAAAUGUGGUAUAUAUACACCAUGGAAUACUAUUCAGCCAUAAAAAGGAAUGAAAUCAAGUCCUUUGCAGGAACAUGAAUGAAGCUGAAGGCCAUCAUCUUCAGCAAACUAACACAGGAACAGAAAAUAAAAUACCACAUAUUCUCACUUACAACUGGGAGCUGAAUGAUGAGAACAUAUGGACACAUAUAGGGGCACAACACACACUGGGGCCUGUUGGAGGGUGCUGGGGGGAGGAGGCAGAGCAUCAGGAAGAAUAGCUAAUGGAUUCUGGGCUUAAUACCUAAGUGAUGAGAUGAUCUGUGCAGCAAACUACCAUAGUACAUGUUUACCUAUGUAACAAACCUGUACGUCCUGCACAUGUACCCCUGAACAUUAAAA
Molecule: long non-coding RNA, 1674 nt
Filed under: Homo sapiens (human)
Lineage: Eukaryota; Metazoa; Chordata; Mammalia; Primates; Hominidae
Description: non-protein coding lnc-BMT2-1:9
Source: RNAcentral